GAACAGCUCACAGAAAGGUGACAACCAACAACACACUACAAAGUGUGUGGGAACCAUUAGCUGCAUGGAGGAAAGAUCAUUAAGGCUUACAAAAGAAAAGUGACUUUCCAGUUCUUCUGGCUUAUCUGUUUCAGACACUUCACUGGUUUCAGACAAAUCACAUCUAGUUACACCAAUGUGGAUCACACUUCUGAGCUGUUUGACCUAUGCCAAGAGGGAUGAGCUGGGUUUCCAAAUCCAAGUUAGCAAUGACAUUCAAGCACUUCUCUCACACACUUCCUGCAGGAAAAAAGUGUUUCUACACUCUGAACAAUCGGGUUUGCUUCUUACUUGCUCAGCAUUUUGCUGUACUGAAUGAACAGGAUGUCACUGCAAAAGUUUGGCACCUCUAGAGUGUUUUGAAAGACUUUAGAUGGACGAGCUUAAACUCACCUUUGUAUCCUUUGGUAUCUGCUUGUUCUUGUUUUUUGCCUUGAAGCACCAACAUUCAUACUUUGUUUACAGAUCUCAACAGGCUUUGCCUUGUCAAAUAUUUUGAAUUCCAUAAUGAGGUGUGUAAUGUCUCUUAUAUAAGCUCUCAUUUUUGCUCUCCUGGGAUGUCUUGCUUUUGUGCUUACAUGGGUUUGCCUGUGUUUACUCUACUCAUUUGACUUUUAACUGAGAAACUGAGGAAAUAACUUUUGGCUUAUGUUCUCCCACCAUGUUGUUGUCAUAUUCCUCUCCUUGAAAAAAAUCCCCAAAUCAAAUGAAACUCAAGCAAUCACCCCACUUCAGAUCAUCAGUUUGGUUUAGAACUAAUGUCAGUUCCAAGAAGCAAGUGGGCUGAGUUGAAGGUGGAUGAAUGUCUCCAGCAGGAAGUGGGUGUGCUCAUUUUUGCUGGAUGAGAACUUCUUUAAUACAGUGAAGGACUGGAUAUACAAUCUGAGCUACUUCUAUUUAUGGACUGACUCUCCGAUUCAUGUUUUAUGAGUUUCCUCCCAGGCAAAGCUGCUCUGUUUGGCUCAUUGGAGUCCUGUCAGGAGAACAAUCAAAAGGAUAUUAAUCUGAAGCUCAAAUACCACAUCAAUUAACAGGCAGGGGUUUUGUACUGUGGAGUUCAAAAUGUACUUGGCAGAAUAAAUGCAAAUAAACCUUUUAUCA
This 1140-nucleotide long non-coding RNA is filed under the name Parus major (Great Tit). RNAcentral describes it as "lncRNA (ENSPMJG00000006331.1)". Lineage: Eukaryota; Metazoa; Chordata; Aves; Passeriformes; Paridae. The record is from RNAcentral.